GGAAUAUUGCGCAAUGGGGGAAACCCUGACGCAGCAACGCCGCGUGAAUGAUGAAGGCCUUCGGGUUGUAAAGUUCUGUCUUCUGGGACGAUAAUGACGGUACCAGAGGAUGAAGCCACGGCUAACUACGUGCCAGCAGCCGCGGUAAUACGUAGGUGGCAAGCGUUGUCCGGAUUUACUGGGCGUAAAGGAUGCGUAGGCGGACAUUUAAGUCAGAUGUGAAAUACCCGAGCUUAACUUGGGUGCUGCAUUUGAAACUGGGUGUCUAGAGUGCAGGAGAGGUAAGUGGAAUUCCUAGUGUAGCGGUGAAAUGCGUAGAGAUUAGGAAGAACACCAGUGGCGAAGGCGACUUACUGGACUGUAACUGACGCUGAGGAAUGAAAGCGUGGGGAGCAAACA
RNAcentral lists this ribosomal RNA (399 nucleotides) under uncultured Clostridium sp. Its description in RNAcentral is "bacterial SSU rRNA". It matches the Rfam family "Bacterial small subunit ribosomal RNA", at positions 358 to 774 of the family's 1533-position model. Lineage: Bacteria; Bacillati; Bacillota; Clostridia; Eubacteriales; Clostridiaceae. The record is from RNAcentral.